Oryza sativa Japonica Group (Japanese rice) is the source of this 1339-nucleotide long non-coding RNA. RefSeq lists it as uncharacterized. NCBI's taxonomy places the organism in Eukaryota, Viridiplantae, Streptophyta, Magnoliopsida, Poales, Poaceae. The record is from RefSeq and is a predicted model, not a curated record.
UGGCCAAACCCUGUUCUUUCGAACGGAUCGGAUUACUUCGAUCGUCCACUAGCUGAGAUGGCCGCCGCGCGUGUCCUGUGCAAGAGAUUGACGCCCCUGUUCCUUGCCGCUCAUGCGUCUUCUUCCUCUGUCACCUGCGCAGGCGCUGCUGCUGCAGCAAGAACUGGCAUGGCCUUAAUGAAAAACAAUCCCAUGAAGCCGCCAUUUUCGGAUUCUAUUAAUGGAGCCAAGAGACCUUUUUCAUCCACAUCCACCAAGAACACUGAUCCUUUCGUCUCUUCAGAAAGAGGUUUAUGUUCCUAUAUCUUUUUAUUCGUGAACAUGACAUUUAUCUCGUCAGUGCUCACGGUGCGUGAAUGCUAAGGAGACAUUUAGGAGGUCCCAAGUAUUCCGAGGCAUAUCCCUCUUUUUUUGUCUAUCUAAAAAAAAGUAAUGUAUAAUGUGUUAUCAACCAGAGUUGGUAUGUUUUGUUAUUGUAUGACAGAGAGGGAUGCUUGUAAUCAAAAUAUGGAAAUGUUAAUUCUAAACGGGAUGCAUUGCACUUGCUAUUGUGUUAUGUCUUAUGCUGAUAAUACUACCUAUGUGGUUUUUCUUCUUUUGUAGUAGUAUAUAUGCAGUUUGUUUAUGUAAAUUAUGUGGAGACUGUAAGAGUUUAUUCCUGUUGGGUCUGAAUAUUCAGAGAGCUCACUCAGGUCUGCAUCAGCGUGGUGUUUGAUGGUUAUCACUGGGUUCACAUCCUCUGCCGUUGGCCCAUGCUAUGGCACCCGUUGGGCAAUCUUGGCCUUUUUUUCUUCCCAAUCAUCGUUGUAGAUAAAUAACAGUUUUUUUUUUAUUUCGUUCUUCCAGUUGAAUUUCGUUUCUAUCAUUUCCUCCCCAACGAUUCUCAUCCGCGGUGCAAUUCAUGGCUGGGAGCGGCAACUACAUCGUCGGGAGCUCUGGCGCGGGCUCGGGAUGCGGUGGUUGUGGUGGCUACAGGUGAGCGCCACUUGCCCGGUGUGCCGCGACUCGCCGCUGCCGUCGUUGAUGGCAACGCCGCUCGCGGAGGCCGUGCGUGCCCCUCGCGGAGGCCCUGCCGCCGCCGCUAGGGCCGAAGGGGAAAGAAAAGAUAGAGAUAAGGGAGAGAGAGGAGGAAGAAGGGUUAGACAGAGAAAAGAAUGACAUGCGGGUCCUACAUGGUAGUGGGUCCCAUAUUAUACUUGUGUAAAUUCCAAAUAGGUCUCACAUAUAAUAUUUUUUUAUUCUAACGCCACCUAAACAUCACAUGAGACGAAUACCAGGUAACACUGUCACGUUAGUAGCACUUCAGCAAAACCACACUUCAAAAUCGCUGAGGAAAUCA